This 301-nucleotide ribosomal RNA is filed under the name uncultured bacterium. RNAcentral describes it as "partial 16S ribosomal RNA". It matches the Rfam family "Bacterial small subunit ribosomal RNA", at positions 509 to 807 of the family's 1533-position model. The record is from RNAcentral.
CAGCCGCCACGGGAAUACAGAGGGUGCGAGCGUUAAUCGGAUUUACUGGGCGUAAAGCGUGCGUAGGCGGCUUCUUAAGUCGGAUGUGAAAUCCCUGAGCUUAACUUAGGAAUUGCAUUCGAUACUGGGAAGCUAGAGUAUGGGAGAGGAUGGUAGAAUUCCAGGUGUAGCGGUGAAAUGCGUAGAGAUCUGGAGGAAUACCGAUGGCGAAGGCAGCCAUCUGGCCUAAUACUGACGCUUAGGUACGAAAGCAUGGGGAGCAAACAGGAUUAGAUACCCCAGUAGUCCCUGUCUCUUAUAC